RNAcentral lists this small nuclear RNA (20 nucleotides) under Arabidopsis thaliana (thale cress). Its description in RNAcentral is "snRNA_03848". Lineage: Eukaryota; Viridiplantae; Streptophyta; Magnoliopsida; Brassicales; Brassicaceae. The record is from RNAcentral.
GCACGGGCCGGCUCAACCCG